RNAcentral lists this ribosomal RNA (1890 nucleotides) under Salmonella enterica. RNAcentral's name for it is "partial 23S ribosomal RNA". It matches the Rfam family "Bacterial large subunit ribosomal RNA", at positions 1 to 1907 of the family's 2925-position model. Lineage: Bacteria; Pseudomonadati; Pseudomonadota; Gammaproteobacteria; Enterobacterales; Enterobacteriaceae. The record is from RNAcentral.
GGGUUGUGAGGUUAAGCGACUAAGCGUACACGGUGGAUGCCCUGGCAGUCAGAGGCGAUGAAGGACGUGCUAAUCUGCGAUAAGCGUCGGUAAGGUGAUAUGAACCGUUAUAACCGGCGAUUUCCGAAUGGGGAAACCCAGUGCAAUUCGUUGCACUAUCGUUAAGUGAAUACAUAGCUUAACGAAGCGAACCGGGGGAACUGAAACAUCUAAGUACCCCGAGGAAAAGAAAUCAACCGAGAUUCCCCCAGUAGCGGCGAGCGAACGGGGAGCAGCCCAGAGUCUGAAUCAGCAUGUGUGUUAGUGGAAGCGUCUGGAAAGUCGCACGAUACAGGGUGAAAGUCCCGUACACCAAAAUGCACAUGUUGUGAACUCGAAGAGUAGGGCGGGACACGUGGUAUCCUGUCUGAAUAUGGGGGGACCAUCCUCCAAGGCUAAAUACUCCUGACUGACCGAUAGUGAACCAGUACCGUGAGGGAAAGGCGAAAAGAACCCCGGCGAGGGGAGUGAAAAAGAACCUGAAACCGUGUACGUACAAGCAGUGGGAGCCUCUUUAUGGGGUGACUGCGUACCUUUUGUAUAAUGGGUCAGCGACUUAUAUUCUGUAGCAAGGUUAACCGAAUAGGGGAGCCGAAGGGAAACCGAGUCUUAACUGGGCGUUAAGUUGCAGGGUAUAGACCCGAAACCCGGUGAUCUAGCCAUGGGCAGGUUGAAGGUUGGGUAACACUAACUGGAGGACCGAACCGACUAAUGUUGAAAAAUUAGCGGAUGACCUGUGGCUGGGGGUGAAAGGCCAAUCAAACCGGGAGAUAGCUGGUUCUCCCCGAAAGCUAUUUAGGUAGCGCCUCGUGAAUUCAUCUUCGGGGGUAGAGCACUGUUUCGGCUAGGGGGUCAUCCCGACUUACCAACCCGAUGCAAACUACGAAUACCGAAGAAUGUUAUCACGGGAGACACACGGCGGGUGCUAACGUCCGUCGUGAAGAGGGAAACAACCCAGACCGCCAGCUAAGGUCCCAAAGUCACAGUUAAGUGGGAAACGAUGUGGGAAGGCUCAGACAGCCAGGAUGUUGGCUUAGAAGCAGCCAUCAUUUAAAGAAAGCGUAAUAGCUCACUGGUCGAGUCGGCCUGCGCGGAAGAUGUAACGGGGCUAAACUGUGCACCGAAGCUGCGGCAGCGACACUAUGUGUUGUUGGGUAGGGGAGCGUUCUGUAAGCCGUUGAAGGUGUGUCGUGAGGCAUGCUGGAGGUAUCAGAAGUGCGAAUGCUGACAUAAGUAACGAUAAAGCGGGUGAAAAACCCGCUCGCCGGAAGACCAAGGGUUCCUGUCCAACGUUAAUCGGGGCAGGGUGAGUCGACCCCUAAGGCGAGGCCGAAAGGCGUAGUCGAUGGGAAACAGGUUAAUAUUCCUGUACUUGGUGUUACUGCGAAGGGGGGACGGAGAAGGCUAUGUUGGCCGGGCGACGGUUGUCCCGGUUUAAGCGUGUAGGUUUGCAGACCAGGUAAAUCCGGUCUGCUUCAAGACUGAGACGUGAUGACGAGGCACUACGGUGCUGAAGUAACAAAUGCCCUGCUUCCAGGAAAAGCCUCUAAGCAUCAGGUAACACGAAAUCGUACCCCAAACCGACACAGGUGGUCAGGUAGAGAAUACCAAGGCGCUUGAGAGAACUCGGGUGAAGGAACUAGGCAAAAUGGUGCCGUAACUUCGGGAGAAGGCACGCUGAUACGUAGGUGAAGCGGUUUACCCGUGGAGCUGAAAUCAGUCGAAGAUACCAGCUGGCUGCAACUGUUUAUUAAAAACACAGCACUGUGCAAACACGAAAGUGGACGUAUACGGUGUGACGCCUGCCCGGUGCCGGAAGGUUAAUUGAUGGGGUUAGCGCAAGCGAAGCUC